ACGGAAGGCAGCAGUGGGGAAUAUUGCACAAUGGGGGAAACCCUGAUGCAGCGACGCCGCGUGAAGGAAGAAGUAUCUCGGUAUGUAAACUUCUAUCAGCAGGGAAGAAAGUGACGGUACCUGACUAAGAAGCCCCGGCUAACUACGUGCCAGCAGCCGCGGUAAUACGUAGGGGGCAAGCGUUAUCCGGAUUUACUGGGUGUAAAGGGAGCGUAGACGGCAAGACAAGUCUGAAGUGAAAGGCAUGGGCUCAACCUGUGGACUGCUUUGGAAACUGCCUUGCUUGAGUGCCGGAGGGGUAAGCGGAAUUCCUAGUGUAGCGGUGAAAUGCGUAGAUAUUAGGAGGAACACCAGUGGCGAAGGCGGCUUACUGGACGGUAACUGACGUUGAGGCUCGAAAGCGUGGGGAGCAAGCAGGAUUAGAUACCCUGGUA
RNAcentral lists this ribosomal RNA (434 nucleotides) under uncultured Blautia sp. Its description in RNAcentral is "partial 16S ribosomal RNA". It matches the Rfam family "Bacterial small subunit ribosomal RNA", at positions 341 to 792 of the family's 1533-position model. The record is from RNAcentral. Lineage: Bacteria; Bacillati; Bacillota; Clostridia; Lachnospirales; Lachnospiraceae.